Molecule: transfer RNA, 69 nt
Filed under: Tupaia belangeri chinensis (Chinese tree shrew)
Lineage: Eukaryota; Metazoa; Chordata; Mammalia; Scandentia; Tupaiidae
Description: Tupaia chinensis (Chinese tree shrew) tRNA
Rfam family: tRNA
About the family: Transfer RNA (tRNA) molecules are approximately 80 nucleotides in length. Their secondary structure includes four short double-helical elements and three loops (D, anti-codon, and T loops). Further hydrogen bonds mediate the characteristic L-shaped molecular structure. tRNAs have two regions of fundamental functional importance: the anti-codon, which is responsible for specific mRNA codon recognition, and the 3' end, to which the tRNAs corresponding amino acid is attached (by aminoacyl-tRNA synthetases). tRNAs cope with the degeneracy of the genetic code in two manners: having more than one tRNA (with a specific anti-codon) for a particular amino acid; and 'wobble' base-pairing, i.e. permitting non-standard base-pairing at the 3rd anti-codon position.
Source: Rfam by way of RNAcentral
GUAAAUAUAGUUUAAAUAAAAUAUUAGAUUGCAAAUCUAACAAUAAGAGCUCAAUUCUCCCUAUUUACC